UGCAUCAUGAUUUACAUUUGAGUGAGUGGCGAACUGGUGAGUAACACGUGGGAAACCUGCCCAGAAGCGGGGGAUAACACCUGGAAACAGAUGCUAAUACCGCAUAACAACUUGGACCGCAUGGUCCGAGUUUGAAAGAUGGCUUCGGCUAUCACUUUUGGAUGGUCCCGCGGCGUAUUAGCUAGAUGGUGGGGUAACGGCUCACCAUGGCAAUGAUACGUAGCCGACCUGAGAGGGUAAUCGGCCACAUUGGGACUGAGACACGGCCCAAACUCCUACGGGAGGCAGCAGUAGGGAAUCUUCCACAAUGGACGAAAGUCUGAUGGAGCAACGCCGCGUGAGUGAAGAAGGGUUUCGGCUCGUAAAACUCUGUUGUUAAAGAAGAACAUAUCUGAGAGUAACUGUUCAGGUAUUGACGGUAUUUAACCAGAAAGCCACGGCUAACUACGUGCCAGCAGCCGCGGUAAUACGUAGGUGGCAAGCGUUGUCCGGAUUUAUUGGGCGUAAAGCGAGCGCAGGCGGUUUUUUAAGUCUGAUGUGAAAGCCUUUCGGCUCAACCGAAGAAGUGCAUCGGAAACUGGGAAACUUGAGUGCAGAAGAGGACAGUGGAACUCCAUGUGUAGCGGUGAAAUGCGUAGAUAUAUGGAAGAACACCAGUGGCGAAGGCGGCUGUCUGGUCUGUAACUGACGCUGAGGCUCGAAAGUAUGGGUAGCAAACAGGAUUAGAUACCCUGGUAGUCCAUACCGUAAACGAUGAAUGCUAAGUGUUGGAGGGUUUCCGCCCUUCAGUGCUGCAGCUAACGCAUUAAGCAUUCCGCCUGGGGAGUACGGCCGCAAGGCUGAAACUCAAAGGAAUUGACGGGGGCCCGCACAAGCGGUGGAGCAUGUGGUUUAAUUCGAAGCUACGCGAAGAACCUUACCAGGUCUUGACAUACUAUGCAAAUCUAAGAGAUUAGACGUUCCCUUCGGGGACAUGGAUACAGGUGGUGCAUGGUUGUCGUCAGCUCGUGUCGUGAGAUGUUGGGUUAAGUCCCGCAACGAGCGCAACCCUUAUUAUCAGUUGCCAGCAUUAAGUUGGGCACUCUGGUGAGACUGCCGGUGACAAACCGGAGGAAGGUGGGGAUGACGUCAAAUCAUCAUGCCCCUUAUGACCUGGGCUACACACGUGCUACAAUGGAUGGUACAACGAGUUGCGAACUCGCGAGAGUAAGCUAAUCUCUUAAAGCCAUUCUCAGUUCGGAUUGUAGGCUGCAACUCGCCUACAUGAAGUCGGAAUCGCUAGUAAUCGCGGAUCAGCAUGCCGCGGUGAAUACGUUCCCGGGCCUUGUACACACCGCCCGUCACACCAUGAGAGUUUGUAACA
RNAcentral lists this ribosomal RNA (1363 nucleotides) under Lactiplantibacillus plantarum. Its description in RNAcentral is "bacterial SSU rRNA". It matches the Rfam family "Bacterial small subunit ribosomal RNA", at positions 68 to 1419 of the family's 1533-position model. Lineage: Bacteria; Bacillati; Bacillota; Bacilli; Lactobacillales; Lactobacillaceae. The record is from RNAcentral.